RNAcentral lists this ribosomal RNA (305 nucleotides) under uncultured bacterium. RNAcentral's name for it is "partial 16S ribosomal RNA". It matches the Rfam family "Bacterial small subunit ribosomal RNA", at positions 337 to 659 of the family's 1533-position model. The record is from RNAcentral.
UCCUACGGGGGGCAGCAGUGGGGGAUAUUGCACAAUGGGGGGAACCCUGAUGCAGCGACGCCGCGUGGGUGAAGAAGCGCCUCGGCGCGUAAAGCCCUGUCAGCAGGGAAGAAAAUGACGGUACCUGAAGAAGAAGCCCCGGCUAACUACGUGCCAGCAGCCGCGGUAAUACGUAGGGGGCGAGCGUUGUCCGGAAUCACUGGGCGUAAAGGGCGCGUAGGCGGUAAUAUAAGUCAGAUGUGAAAGGUGGGGGCUCAACCCCUAGAGUGCAACUGAUACUGUAUAACUUGAGUGUGAGAGAGGGG